AUGGGAGGCCGGGCUUUAUAUACUGGAGGCGGUGUGCCGUGUGGCCCGUGUGCUGACACCCCCACCGCUUCCCGAGGUGGCCGCCGCCGCCCCCGACUCAACUACCGACGCUGCGUCCCCGAGAUCCAAUCCGCCGCCGCCGCCAUCCUCGACCUCAAGCUGGGGCACUUCCUCUCCGGCUUCUCCUCCGACCCAGUUAAUUUCAGAACAAGCUACUACUUCCGCACCGGCGGCGGCGGUGACGGCUACAACUUCAGCACAGUACUAAGGCAACGGCUACAGCACUGGCAUCCUCUCCUGGACUGUUUGUGCUGCCCUUCCUCUCCGGCUCCUUAUCCAACCCCUCCCUCGCCAAGCACGCAAAGUAUGGCUGACGAAUGGAGUGAUGAAGACACUAAGACUGCCGAAGUUAUGAUGGAACAGAUCACAAGGAUAGGUGACAUUGCUGAGAGGUGUCAAAAAUCAUUCGAGUCAUUCAUAAAAACCGAUGAUGCCGCCUCAGUACCUACUGUUAUGAACGCCGUCCUUGCUUGUGGGGCAAAAGAAGGUAGCGAUGAGCACUUCAUUGCUACCGAGCUGUUCGUGAAGAGAACGCAACAGGAGAUAUUUCUCCAUACGGGUGAAGCUUCUGGGUUUGGGUGGCUCCGUAGGAAGUACCGCAGCAAGUAUGGGCACCAGUAGCUACUAUGUCUGCUGUUGAAAUAACUAGAUGUGCUGUAGUUUCAUUUUGAACAAUGUUUAUCUGUUUGAAUUGUAAUGACAAGUGUCAACAAUAUAUAUAUAUAUAUCAAUGCAUCAUGUUUUCUCUAGUCA
Long non-coding RNA from Brachypodium distachyon (stiff brome), 813 nucleotides. RefSeq lists it as uncharacterized. NCBI's taxonomy places the organism in Eukaryota, Viridiplantae, Streptophyta, Magnoliopsida, Poales, Poaceae. The record is from RefSeq and is a predicted model, not a curated record. The transcript is spliced from 5 exons.